AUUGAACGCUGGCGGCAGGCCUAACACAUGCAAGUCGAGCGGAUGAAGGGAGCUUGCUCCUGGAUUCAGCUGCGGACGGGUGAGUAAUGCCUAGGAAUCUGCCUGGUAGUGGGGGAUAACGUCCGUAAACGGGCGCUAAUACCGCAUACGUCCUUAGGGAGAAAGUGGGGGAUCUUCGGACCUCACGCUAUCAGAUGAGCCUAGGUCGGAUUAGCUAGUUGGUGGGGUAAAGUCCUACCAAGGCGACGAUCCGUAACUGGUCUAAGAGGAUGAUCAGUCACACUGGAACUGAGACACGGUACAGACUCCGACGGGAGGCAGCAGUGGGGAAUAUUGGACAAUGGGCGAAAGCCUGAUCCAGCAAUGCCGCGUGUGUGAAGAAGGUCUUCGGAUUGUAAAGCACUGUAAGUUGGGAGGAAGGGAAGUACGUUAAUACCUGGAUGUUUUGACGUUACCAAAAGAAUAAGCACCGGCUAACUUCGUG
This 484-nucleotide ribosomal RNA is filed under the name uncultured bacterium. Its description in RNAcentral is "partial 16S ribosomal RNA". It matches the Rfam family "Bacterial small subunit ribosomal RNA", at positions 30 to 507 of the family's 1533-position model. The record is from RNAcentral.